AGCAGCCGCGGUAAUUCCAGCUCCAAUAGCGUAUAUUAAAGUUGUUGCAGUUAAAAAGCUCGUAGUUGAAUUUCGGGGUCAGUAGGCUGGUCGUGCCACAGGUAUGUACUGGUCUUACUGAUUCCUCCUUCCUGAUGAACCGUAAUGCCAUUAAUUUGGUGUUGCGGGGAAUCUGGACUGUUACUUUGAAAAAAUUAGAGUGUUUAAAGCAGGCUAACGCUUGAAUACAUUAGCAUGGAAUAAUGAAAUAGGACGAUCGAUCCUAUUUUGUUGGUUUCUAGGAUUGACGUAAUGAUUAAUAGGGAUAGUUGGGGGCAUUAGUAUUCAAUUGUCGGAGGUGAAAUUCUUGGAUUUAUUGAAGACUAACUACUGCGAAAGCAUUUGCCAAGGAUGUUUUCAUUAAUCAAGAACGAAAGUUAGGGGAUCGAAGACGAUCAGAUACCGUCGUAG
This 450-nucleotide ribosomal RNA is filed under the name uncultured Glomeromycotina. RNAcentral's name for it is "SSU rRNA". It matches the Rfam family "Eukaryotic small subunit ribosomal RNA", at positions 569 to 1023 of the family's 1831-position model. The record is from RNAcentral. Lineage: Eukaryota; Fungi; Glomeromycota.